RNAcentral lists this ribosomal RNA (475 nucleotides) under uncultured bacterium. RNAcentral's name for it is "bacterial SSU rRNA". It matches the Rfam family "Bacterial small subunit ribosomal RNA", at positions 26 to 518 of the family's 1533-position model. The record is from RNAcentral.
AGGACGAACGCUGGCGGCGUGCUUCAUACAUGCAAGUCGAACGAGAAUCUCACUUCGGUGAGAGGAAAGUGGCGGACGGGUGAGUAAUGUGUAGAGAAUCUGCCCUAGAGUGAGGGACAACAGAGGGAAACUUCUGCUAAUACCUCAUAUGCGCGUAGCUGAGAUGCUAUUCGUGAAAACUCCGGUGCUCUGGGAUGAGUCUGCAUCUGAUUAGCUAGUUGGGGGUGUAAUGGACCACCAAGGCGACGAUCAGUAGCUGGUUUGAGAGGAUGAUCAGCCACAAUGGGACUGAGACACGGCCCAUACUCCUACGGGAGGCAGCAGUAGGGAAUUUUGCGCAAUGGGGGGAAAAACCCCUGACGCAGCAACGCCGCGUGAACGAAAAAGCCCUUCGGGGUGUAAAGUUCUGUCAGUGGGGACGAAACUUGACGGUACCCACAGAGGAAGCAUCGGCUAACUCCGUGCCAGCCGCAGC